RNAcentral lists this small RNA (453 nucleotides) under Arabidopsis thaliana (thale cress). Its description in RNAcentral is "ATSL161440". Lineage: Eukaryota; Viridiplantae; Streptophyta; Magnoliopsida; Brassicales; Brassicaceae. The record is from RNAcentral.
UAGAAUGUGGUAAAGAAUGAUUUACAAGGUAUUUUAAAAAGGAUUUACAUGACUUGCAAUCGUUUUUAACGGAUUAGAAAGUGGUAAGGAUUGAUUUACAAGGGAUUUUAAAAAGCUAUUAAAAAGGGUUUAAUUGAUUAACAAUUGUUUUAGAAGCAGAACUUAGUGGCAUAGAAUGAUUUACAAGGUAUUUUAAAAAGGGUUUGCAUUUUUUACAAUCGUUUUUAAAGGGGUUUUCUAAUAUGAUAAUUUUUAUUUUUGUUGUGUUUAGAAUGUUGAUGCAGCUUUGGAGUUGAUGAAAACGAGGAAGGAAAGCAAUCCAGAAUUAUUCAAAAACAAAUCAGUUGUAUUUGUUGGCUCGUCUUUCUUAAAUACGAUUGAUGAGUCAUACAUGGAGUUUUUGGAUGACAAAGAGGGAUUUCAGUUUCAGUCUGAAGAAAUCAGUAAGCUUAU